GGGCUCGUGGUUUAGUGGUAUAAUACUCCCUUAGCAUCGCAGACAUGGGAGUGGUCCGGGGUUCGAUUCCCCGCGAGUCCA
Molecule: transfer RNA, 81 nt
Filed under: Blumeria hordei DH14
Lineage: Eukaryota; Fungi; Ascomycota; Leotiomycetes; Helotiales; Erysiphaceae
Description: tRNA-Ala for anticodon AGC
Rfam family: tRNA
About the family: Transfer RNA (tRNA) molecules are approximately 80 nucleotides in length. Their secondary structure includes four short double-helical elements and three loops (D, anti-codon, and T loops).
Source: Rfam by way of RNAcentral